Molecule: ribosomal RNA, 950 nt
Filed under: Escherichia coli
Lineage: Bacteria; Pseudomonadati; Pseudomonadota; Gammaproteobacteria; Enterobacterales; Enterobacteriaceae
Description: partial 23S ribosomal RNA
Rfam family: Bacterial large subunit ribosomal RNA
Source: RNAcentral
CGAAUACCGGAGAAUGUUAUCACGGGAGACACACGGCGGGUGCUAACGUCCGUCGUGAAGAGGGAAACAACCCAGACCGCCAGCUAAGGUCCCAAAGUCAUGGUUAAGUGGGAAACGAUGUGGGAAGGCCCAGACAGCCAGGAUGUUGGCUUAGAAGCAGCCAUCAUUUAAAGAAAGCGUAAUAGCUCACUGGUCGAGUCGGCCUGCGCGGAAGAUGUAACGGGGCUAAACCAUGCACCGAAGCUGCGGCAGCGACGCUGAUGCGUUGUUGGGUAGGGGAGCGUUCUGUAAGCCUGCGAAGGUGUGCUGUGAGGCAUGCUGGAGGUAUCAGAAGUGCGAAUGCUGACAUAAGUAACGAUAAAGCGGGUGAAAAGCCCGCUCGCCGGAAGACCAAGGGUUCCUGUCCAACGUUAAUCGGGGCAGGGUGAGUCGACCCCUAAGGCGAGGCCGAAAGGCGUAGUCGAUGGGAAACAGGUUAAUAUUCCUGUACUUGGUGUUACUGCGAAGGGGGGACGGAGAAGGCUAUGUUGGCCGGGCGACGGUUGUCCCGGUUUAAGCGUGUAGGCUGGUUUUCCAGGCAAAUCCGGAAAAUCAAGGCUGAGGCGUGAUGACGAGGCACUACGGUGCUGAAGCAACAAAUGCCCUGCUUCCAGGAAAAGCCUCUAAGCAUCAGGUAACAUCAAAUCGUACCCCAAACCGACACAGGUGGUCAGGUAGAGAAUACCAAGGCGCUUGAGAGAACUCGGGUGAAGGAACUAGGCAAAAUGGUGCCGUAACUUCGGGAGAAGGCACGCUGAUAUGUAGGUGAAGUCCCUCGCGGAUGGAGCUGAAAUCAGUCGAAGAUACCAGCUGGCUGCAACUGUUUAUUAAAAACACAGCACUGUGCAAACACGAAAGUGGACGUAUACGGUGUGACGCCUGCCCGGUGCCGGAAGGUUAAUUGAUGGGGU